Molecule: ribosomal RNA, 897 nt
Filed under: uncultured Bacteroidota bacterium
Lineage: Bacteria; Pseudomonadati; Bacteroidota
Description: bacterial SSU rRNA
Rfam family: Bacterial small subunit ribosomal RNA
Source: RNAcentral
AUGAACGCUAGCUACAGGCUUAACACAUGCAAGUCGAGGGGAAACGAUAGAGAAAGCUUGCUUUUUCUAGGCGUCGACCGGCGCACGGGUGAGUAACGCGUAUCCAACCUGCCCACCACUUGGGGAUAACCUUGCGAAAGUAAGACUAAUACCCAAUGAUAUCUCUAGAGGACAUCUGAAAGGGAUUAAAGAUUUAUCGGUGAUGGAUGGGGAUGCGUCUGAUUAGCUUGUUGGCGGGGUAACGGCCCACCAAGGCGACGAUCAGUAGGGGUUCUGAGAGGAAGGUCCCCCACAUUGGAACUGAGACACGGUCCAAACUCCUACGGGAGGCAGCAGUGAGGAAUAUUGGUCAAUGGGCGAGAGCCUGAACCAGCCAAGUAGCGUGCAGGAUGACGGCCCUAUGGGUUGUAAACUGCUUUUAUAAGGGAAUAAAGUGAGAGUCGUGACUCUUUUUGCAUGUACCUUAUGAAUAAGGACCGGCUAAUUCCGUGCCAGCAGCCGCGGUAAUACGGAAGGUCCGGGCGUUAUCCGGAUUUAUUGGGUUUAAAGGGAGCGUAGGCCGGAGAUUAAGCGUGUUGUGAAAUGUAGAUGCUCAACAUCUGCACUGCAGCGCGAACUGGUUUCCUUGAGUACGCACAAAGUGGGCGGAAUUCGUGGUGUAGCGGUGAAAUGCUUAGAUAUCACGAAGAACUCCGAUUGCGAAGGCAGCUCACUGGAGCGCAACUGACGCUGAAGCUCGAAAGUGCGGGUAUCGAACAGGAUUAGAUACCCUGGUAGUCCGCACGGUAAACGAUGGAUGCCCGCUGUUGGUCUGAAUAGGUCAGCGGCCAAGCGAAAGCAUUAAGCAUCCCACCUGGGGAGUACGCCGGCAACGGUGCAACUCAAAUGAAUUGACGG